Panicum virgatum (switchgrass) is the source of this 522-nucleotide long non-coding RNA. RefSeq lists it as uncharacterized. The record is from RefSeq and is a predicted model, not a curated record. NCBI's taxonomy places the organism in Eukaryota, Viridiplantae, Streptophyta, Magnoliopsida, Poales, Poaceae. The transcript is spliced from 4 exons.
UGAUCUCUGCAACGGCCUCCCACCAAAAAAGAACAAUUUCCCAGCCAUCCAACGCUCCUACGCUCCCUUCGAGAACAUCGUUGAGGAUCAGGCAAGCGGAAUCCGGCGAUAUCAGAACGCCUCCAUCCAUUAACUCCAUCGAUAGGCAGGACAAGAAGUUACGAAAAAUACUGAAAGUGAAAAAGACGUACAAAGAACCAACAACCAAAUUCCAAAAAGUUAUUCCAUAGGUGUACAAAGGAGCGACAAAGAUCACAUAAUAACACCUUCAUUUGUUUGAGACUUACCAAAAGCUAUGGACGACAGCAGAGAGAGAGACAGAGAGAGAGGGAACUACGGCUUCUAUUGCACUACCCUGUACUAAUUGUUUGUUCAAUGCUGUACAAUGAGCUAUGCCAUCGGGAGCCAUGUAUGAAAUAUAUGAAUGUAUGAUGACACUAUACACUUAUAUAUCAUCUGUUAAUUAUGUAUCAAGUAUAAGCACCCAAUCAUCAACUUUCAUUAUAUUAUUGUAAAUGGUUA